AUUGAACGCUGGCGGCAUGCCUUACACAUGCAAGUCGAACGGCAGCACGGGUGCUUGCACCUGGUGGCGAGUGGCGAACGGGUGAGUAAUACAUCGGAACAUGUCCUGUAGUGGGGGAUAGCCCGGCGAAAGCCGGAUUAAUACCGCAUACGAUCUACGGAUGAAAGCGGGGGACCUUCGGGCCUCGCGCUAUAGGGUUGGCCGAUGGCUGAUUAGCUAGUUGGUGGGGUAAAGGCCUACCAAGGCGACGAUCAGUAGCUGGUCUGAGAGGACGACCAGCCAGACUGGGAGUGAGACACGGCCGAGAGUGCGGCGGGAGGCAGCAGUGGGGAAUGGUGGACGAUGGGGGAAAGCCUGAUGCAGGAAUGCGGCGUGUGUGAAGAAGGCGUUCGGGUUGUAAAGCACUUUUGUCCGGAAAGAAAUCCUUGGCCCUAAUACGGUCGGGGGAUGACGGUACCGGAAGAAUAAGCACCGGCUAACUACGUG
This 486-nucleotide ribosomal RNA is filed under the name uncultured bacterium. Its description in RNAcentral is "partial 16S ribosomal RNA". It matches the Rfam family "Bacterial small subunit ribosomal RNA", at positions 29 to 507 of the family's 1533-position model. The record is from RNAcentral.